This 366-nucleotide long non-coding RNA is filed under the name Panax ginseng (ginseng). Its description in RNAcentral is "long non-coding RNA (PGIN_LNC016598)". The record is from RNAcentral. Lineage: Eukaryota; Viridiplantae; Streptophyta; Magnoliopsida; Apiales; Araliaceae.
UACGAUCAAGUCCAAGAAGAUAUGCAUCAGAAUCGUAGAUUUCGAACAACUGAAGAUUGAGGCAUUGGCAACGGCUUAAUUUGAAGAUUGAUAUUCGAAUAGAGCUUAUUGAGAGCAUCGAUGUAAAAGGACAACCUCUGAUUCAGAAAUCAGAAGGAAGAAAUAAAGUUGACUACCUGCCCAAGACAUGAAAGUGACAUCUCUGAUGGGGUAGGUGAAACAGUAGACUGCAGUGUUAGAAAGUCAGAAAAAGAUGUCAUGUCACAUCUAUAGUCUGCACCAAAUAACUAGAGAUCUGUGAAGCCAUUUGAAUAGCUACCAACAGCUACUUUCCAACGGGAAGAUUAGAAAGCAGUAUAAAUCAAC